GACGAACGCUGGCGGCGUGCCUAAUACAUGCAAGUAGAACGCUGAAGGAGGAGCUUGCUCUUCUUUGAUGAGUUGCGAACGGGUGAGUAACGCGUAGGUAACCUGCCUGGUAGCGGGGGAUAACUAUUGGAAACGAUAGCUAAUACCGCAUAAUAGUAGAUGUUGCAUGACAUUUGCUUAAAAGGUGCAAUUGCAUCACUACCAGAUGGACCUGCGUUGUAUUAGCUAGUUGGUGAGGUAACGGCUCACCAAGGCAACGAUACAUAGCCGACCUGAGAGGGUGAUCGGCCACACUGGGACUGAGACACGGCCCAGACUCCUACGGGAGGCAGCAGUAGGGAAUCUUCGGCAAUGGACGGAAGUCUGACCGAGCAACGCCGCGUGAGUGAAGAAGGUUUUCGGAUCGUAAAGCUCUGUUGUAAGAGAAGAACGAGUGUGAGAGUGGAAAGUUCACACUGUGACGGUAUCUUACCAGAAAGGGACGGCUAACUACGUG
RNAcentral lists this ribosomal RNA (496 nucleotides) under uncultured bacterium. Its description in RNAcentral is "partial 16S ribosomal RNA". It matches the Rfam family "Bacterial small subunit ribosomal RNA", at positions 28 to 507 of the family's 1533-position model. The record is from RNAcentral.